Molecule: ribosomal RNA, 254 nt
Filed under: uncultured bacterium
Lineage: Bacteria
Description: partial 16S ribosomal RNA
Rfam family: Bacterial small subunit ribosomal RNA
Source: RNAcentral
UACGAAGGGGGCUAGCGUUGUUCGGAAUCACUGGGCGUAAAGCGCACGUAGGCGGAUGUGCCAGUCAGGGGUGAAAUCCCGGAAGCUCAACUUCGGAACUGCCUCUGAUACAGCACGUCUUGAGUCCGGAAGAGGUGGGUGGAAUUCCUAGUGUAGAGGUGAAAUUCGUAGAUAUUAGGAAGAACACCGGUGGCGAAGGCGGCCCACUGGUCCGGUACUGACGCUGAGGUGCGAAAGCGUGGGGAGCAAACAGG